RNAcentral lists this ribosomal RNA (1609 nucleotides) under Escherichia coli. RNAcentral's name for it is "partial 23S ribosomal RNA". It matches the Rfam family "Bacterial large subunit ribosomal RNA", at positions 1 to 1643 of the family's 2925-position model. Lineage: Bacteria; Pseudomonadati; Pseudomonadota; Gammaproteobacteria; Enterobacterales; Enterobacteriaceae. The record is from RNAcentral.
GGGUUGUGAGGUUAAGCGACUAAGCGUACACGGUGGAUGCCCUGGCAGUCAGAGGCGAUGAAGGACGUGCUAAUCUGCGAUAAGCGUCGGUAAGGUGAUAUGAACCGUUAUAACCGGCGAUUUCCGAAUGGGGAAACCCAGUGUGUUUCGACACACUAUCAUUAACUGAAUCCAUAGGUUAAUGAGGCGAACCGGGGGAACUGAAACAUCUAAGUACCCCGAGGAAAAGAAAUCAACCGAGAUUCCCCCAGUAGCGGCGAGCGAACGGGGAGCAGCCCAGAGCCUGAAUCAGUAUGUGUGUUAGUGGAAGCGUCUGGAAAGGCGCGCGAUACAGGGUGACAGCCCCGUACACAAAAAUGCACAUGCUGUGAGCUCGAUGAGUAGGGCGGGACACGUGGUAUCCUGUCUGAAUAUGGGGGGACCAUCCUCCAAGGCUAAAUACUCCUGACUGACCGAUAGUGAACCAGUACCGUGAGGGAAAGGCGAAAAGAACCCCGGCGAGGGGAGUGAAAAAGAACCUGAAACCGUGUACGUACAAGCAGUGGGAGCACGCUUAGGCGUGUGACUGCGUACCUUUUGUAUAAUGGGUCAGCGACUUAUAUUCUGUAGCAAGGUUAACCGAAUAGGGGAGCCGAAGGGAAACCGAGUCUUAACUGGGCGUUAAGUUGCAGGGUAUAGACCCGAAACCCGGUGAUCUAGCCAUGGGCAGGUUGAAGGUUGGGUAACACUAACUGGAGGACCGAACCGACUAAUGUUGAAAAAUUAGCGGAUGACUUGUGGCUGGGGGUGAAAGGCCAAUCAAACCGGGAGAUAGCUGGUUCUCCCCGAAAGCUAUUUAGGUAGCGCCUCGUGAAUUCAUCUCCGGGGGUAGAGCACUGUUUCGGCAAGGGGGUCAUCCCGACUUACCAACCCGAUGCAAACUGCGAAUACCGGAGAAUGUUAUCACGGGAGACACACGGCGGGUGCUAACGUCCGUCGUGAAGAGGGAAACAACCCAGACCGCCAGCUAAGGUCCCAAAGUCAUGGUUAAGUGGGAAACGAUGUGGGAAGGCCCAGACAGCCAGGAUGUUGGCUUAGAAGCAGCCAUCAUUUAAAGAAAGCGUAAUAGCUCACUGGUCGAGUCGGCCUGCGCGGAAGAUGUAACGGGGCUAAACCAUGCACCGAAGCUGCGGCAGCGACGCUGAUGCGUUGUUGGGUAGGGGAGCGUUCUGUAAGCCUGCGAAGGUGUGCUGUGAGGCAUGCUGGAGGUAUCAGAAGUGCGAAUGCUGACAUAAGUAACGAUAAAGCGGGUGAAAAGCCCGCUCGCCGGAAGACCAAGGGUUCCUGUCCAACGUUAAUCGGGGCAGGGUGAGUCGACCCCUAAGGCGAGGCCGAAAGGCGUAGUCGAUGGGAAACAGGUUAAUAUUCCUGUACUUGGUGUUACUGCGAAGGGGGGACGGAGAAGGCUAUGUUGGCCGGGCGACGGUUGUCCCGGUUUAAGCGUGUAGGCUGGUUUUCCAGGCAAAUCCGGAAAAUCAAGGCUGAGGCGUGAUGACGAGGCACUGCGGUGCUGAAGCAACAAAUGCCCUGCUUCCAGGAAAAGCCUCUAAGCAUCAGGUAACAUCAAAUC